AGUCGAACGGCAGCACGGGUACUUGUACCUGGUGGCGAGUGGCGAACGGGUGAGUAAUACAUCGGAACGUACCUUAUCGUGGGGGAUAACGCAGCGAAAGCUGUGCUAAUACCGCAUACGCCCUGAGGGGGAAAGCGGGGGAUCGAAAGACCUCGCGCGAUUAGAGCGGCCGAUGCCUGAUUAGCUUGUUGGUGGGGUAAAAGCCCACCAAGGCGACGAUCAGUAGCUGGUCUGAGAGGACGAUCAGCCACACUGGGACUGAGACACGGCCCAGACUCCUACGGGAGGCAGCAGUGGGGAAUUUUGGACAAUGGGGGCAACCCUGAUCCAGCAAUGCCGCGUGAGUGAAGAAGGCCUUCGGGUUGUAAAGCUCUUUUGUCAGGGAAGAAACACCGGCUCUAACACAGUCCGGGAAUGACGGUACCUGAAGAAUAAGCACCGGCUAACUACGUGCCAGCAGCCGCGGUAAUACGUAGGGUGCAAGCGUUAAUCGGAAUUACUGGGCGUAAAGCGUGCGCAGGCGGUUAUACAAGACAGGCGUGAAAUCCCCGGGCUUAACCUGGGAAUGGCGCCUGUGACUGUAUAGCUAGAGUGUGUCAGAGGGGGGUAGAAUUCCACGUGUAGCAGUGAAAUGCGUAGAUAUGUGGAGGAAUACCAAUAGCGAAAGGCAGCCCCCUGGGAUAACACUGACGCUCAUGCACGAAAGCGUGGGGAGCAAACAGGAUUAGAUACCCUGGUAGUCCACGCCCUAAACGAUGCUGACUAGUUGUUCGGGAUUUACAUCCUGAGUAACGUAGCUACGCGUGAAGUCAGCCGCCUGGGGAGUACGGUCGCAGAUUAAACUCAAGGAAUUGACGGGACCCGCACAGCGUGGAUGAUGUGGAUUAAUUCGAUGCACGCGAAAACNUACCUACCCUUGACAUGUCACUA
This 930-nucleotide ribosomal RNA is filed under the name uncultured bacterium. RNAcentral's name for it is "bacterial SSU rRNA". It matches the Rfam family "Bacterial small subunit ribosomal RNA", at positions 60 to 994 of the family's 1533-position model. The record is from RNAcentral.